Molecule: ribosomal RNA, 253 nt
Filed under: uncultured bacterium
Lineage: Bacteria
Description: partial 16S ribosomal RNA
Rfam family: Bacterial small subunit ribosomal RNA
Source: RNAcentral
UACAGAGGUGGCAAGCGUUGCUCGGUAUCACCGGGCUUAAAGGGCGCGUAGGCGGUGCGGUACGGUUUCGGUGAAAUCCCUCGGCCCAACCGAGGAACAGCCGGGGCUACGGCCGCGCUUGACGGCAUCAGGGGACAGUUGAACUUCCGGUGGAGCGGUGAAAUGCGUAGAUAUCGGAAGGAACGCCGGUGGCGAAAGCGGGUCUCUGGGCCGAUACUGACGCUGAGGAGCGAAAGCGUGGGGAGCGAACAGG